AGUGAACGCUGGCGGUAGGCCUAACACAUGCAAGUCGAGCGGCAGCACAGUAAGAGCUUGCUCUUACGGGUGGCGAGUGGCGGACGGGUGAGGAAUACAUCGGAAUCUACUUUUUCGUGGGUGAUAACGUAGGGAAACUUACGCUAAUACCGCAUACGACCUACGGGUGAAAGCAGGGGAUCUUCGGACCUUGCGCGAUUGAAUGAGCCGAUGUCGGAUUAGCUAGUUGGCGGGGUAAAGGCCCACCAAGGCGACGAUCCGUAGCUGGUCUGAGAGGAUGAUCAGCCACACUGGAACUGAGACACGGUCCAGACUCCUACGGGAGGCAGCAGUGGGGAAUAUUGGACAAUGGGCGCAAGCCUGAUCCAGCCAUACCGCGUGGGUGAAGAAGGCCUUCGGGUUGUAAAGCCCUUUUGUUGGGAAAGAAAAGCAGCAGGUUAAUACCCCGCUGUUCUGACGGUACCAAAAGAAUAAGCACCGGCUAACUUCGUG
This 492-nucleotide ribosomal RNA is filed under the name uncultured bacterium. RNAcentral's name for it is "partial 16S ribosomal RNA". It matches the Rfam family "Bacterial small subunit ribosomal RNA", at positions 29 to 507 of the family's 1533-position model. The record is from RNAcentral.